Molecule: ribosomal RNA, 497 nt
Filed under: uncultured bacterium
Lineage: Bacteria
Description: partial 16S ribosomal RNA
Rfam family: Bacterial small subunit ribosomal RNA
Source: RNAcentral
GAUGAACGCUGGCGGCGUGCCUAAUACAUGCAAGUCGAGCGAACAGACGAGGAGCUUGCUCCUCUGACGUUAGCGGCGGACGGGUGAGUAACACGUGGAUAACCUACCUAUAAGACUGGGAUAACUUCGGGAAACCGGAGCUAAUACCGGAUAAUAUAUUGAACCGCAUGGUUCAAUAGUGAAAGACGGUUUUGCUGUCACUUAUAGAUGGAUCCGCGCCGCAUUAGCUAGUUGGUAAGGUAACGGCUUACCAAGGCAACGAUGCGUAGCCGACCUGAGAGGGUGAUCGGCCACACUGGGACUGAGACACGGUCCAGACUCCUACGGGAGGCAGCAGUAGGGAAUCUUCUGCAAUGGGCGAAAGCCUGACGGAGCAACGCCGCGUGAGUGAUGAAGGUCUUCGGAUCGUAAAACUCUGUUAUUAGGGAAGAACAAAUGUGUAAGUAACUAUGCACGUCUUGACGGUACCUAAUCAGAAAGCCACGGCUAACUACGUG